Molecule: long non-coding RNA, 3756 nt
Filed under: Melopsittacus undulatus (budgerigar)
Lineage: Eukaryota; Metazoa; Chordata; Aves; Psittaciformes; Psittaculidae
Description: lncRNA (ENSMUNG00000017587.1)
Source: RNAcentral
AAUUUAUUUCCUCUUUUCCAGCAUCACAUUUUGAAAAAUGCCCCUCAUAUUGCAGAUGUACAGCUGAAUUAUUACACCCAAUGCAAGGAUGGAGGAAUUAGAAACAAUUUCUCUCCCUUUCUCCCCAGUAUCAGGGACUGGUGGCCACAUGGCAAGAGCCCUGCUGAUUUUUCCUCCGAAGCGAACUAAAGCAGUACGCAGUUUUGGCCACAGGAGGGCAGCAGCUCCCGUUGCUCUGAGCCACCCCUUUGCUUCCCCUCCCGCAUCUCCGGCACCUGCAGUACCGAGCUUUGGACACAGGAUGGCAGCAGCGAGCAGUGCCCCGAGCUACGCCGUGCCCCCCCCACCUCCAGCUCCUGCAGUACCGACGCUUAGACACGAGGUGGCAGCACACGCUGCAGAAGCUACGGCCUGAGGGCAACGGCCGUUCCCCUCCCCGUUGACAGCCUCCGGGGACCCCAGCUGCUGAGUGGGGACAGUUUGCAAUAUUGGGGCUGGGGCAAAGUUGCUCAGGGAACUUUUAUUCGAGAUUCUUUCAGGCUUUUAUUGCUUUGGGGGGAUUUAUAAUCACAUUCUUCUCUUUUGCUUUUUAUUUUCUUUACGCGUUUUAUUUAUUUCCUUUUUCAUUCAUGUUUUUCCAGCUGUCCUUGUCUUUUAUUCUCUUUCAGUAACUUUUUUUAGGCGUCCCAUACCUAAAAUGAGAUAAGAAAUGGGCAAACAUGGGUUAGAAAAUUAAAAAAAUGGUUCAAAACGCCUUACAAAUGGUCCAAAGUGGAACACAAGUGGCCCAAAAUGGAUUAAAACAAGCAAGAAAUGGGUAAAAAUGGGUUAGAAGUGGGCAAAAAUGGCUUACAAUGCGGGAGAUGUGGAUAAAUAUGGGACAGAAACAGCCACAGACUGGUCAGAAAUAGCCCCAAAAAAAGCUUUAAAGGGGUUAGAAAUGGGAAAGAUGGGUUAGAAAUUGCCAAAAACGGCUUAAAACUGGUAAGAAAUGGGCAAAACUGGGAUAGAAAUGGCCAUGAAUUGUUCAGAAAUAGACUAAAAUGGCUUAAAAUAGGGUAGAAAUGGGGAAAAAUGGCUUAAACCAGGUUCAGAAAUGGGCAAAAAUGUGUUUGAAGUGGCAAAAAAAUUGGUUAGAAGAAAAAAUAGUUUAGAAAUGGACAAAAUGGCUUAAACCAGGUUAGAAUUGGACAUAUACGAGUUGCAAAUGGCUAAAAAUGGGUUUAAAUCUAGUUAGAAGUGGCCAAAAUUGUGUUAGAAAUGGUCAAAAAUGGCUUAAAGCUGCUGACAAAUGGGAAAAAAUGGGUUAGAAAAAUAAAAAAGUCGCUUAAACAGAGUGAGAAAAGGGCCAAAAAAAAGAUGGAAAUUUAAAAGAAUGGCUUUAAAAGGGUUAGGAGUGACCAAACAUGGGUUAGAAAUGGCAGAAAGAAUUUAGAAAUUGCAAAUAAAACAGUUUAGAAGUGGGCAUAAAUGAGUUAGAAACAGCCAUGUUACGGCAUCUUCUUGGAAUCAGUGGGUAAGUACACACCUCUGUCCCUGCAAGUGCUGCCCGGGGCUGCCAGGAAAGCCGAUCUGUGCAAUAGGCUGUGUGUGUUCUGGUCUGUGAGCCCCCCAUCAGCUACAGUACAGGUGAAGUCUUGUCACUGGAAAAUGUUGAGCAGAUAAUACCCUUUAGUGAGCUAGAAAGCGGCACUAACGCUGCCCGCCUGGCAGGCUAGGAAAGGCAGAUACAUUUGGGGUUAUGCACACAAAAGCUCUACGUCCUGCCGUGGUUCCAGUGUCAUUGCUCUUAGAGGUAAAUGGAAAAGCAGCCUCAGGCCUCCUGCUGGGCUCAGGGAUCCAUCAGCUGCACCAGAGCAGCUUUGCCUGCAGGAUGUGAUACUUGCUAUGCUGGUAAGUGACCAGUUCAAAUAGGUUGAAAUCAAAGUGCAUUUGCCCAGAGCUGGGUGUUACUCGCAUUGGUACUGGUACUUGUGGUAGCAAACAUCUAAUGUGACCCACCUGCUGAACAGAGCUCAGUACUGCAAAUAAUAAGCCAGUUUCCCCUCCCUGGCUGCAUUAAAACAGGCUCCUCCAGAUGAAUUUAACCUCAUGUCAGCGAAGCACUUUAGCUCAAGGUGCCAAAGACGAGCUUCAGCAAGGGCACAAUGCCACCAGACACACCAAAGUGCGUGAGGACGAGAAGCCCUUCCCUAAGAAAGAAGGGUAACUGUGGCCUUGGGCUUCUAAAGAGACCCUCAGCAGCUGUAGGGAAACGCCUGCAUUCCCUGGGGUUCUAAUCAUAGGAGCACAGAAAGGUUUUGGUCGGAAGGAACCUUUAAAGGUCAUCUGGUCCAACCUCCCCUGCCAUGAGCAGGGACAUCUUCAACUCCAUCAGGGUGCUCAGAACCACAUCCAGCCUGGCCUUGAAUGUCCCCAGGGAUGGGGCAUCCACCACCUCUCUGGCCAACCCCUGCCAGUGCUUUACCACCCUCAUUACAGAAAAAUACUGGGGCUGACCUGCAGUUCCUGGUUCUCCCUCCCUCCCUCCAGGCCUUGCCUUCUCCUCAGCAGUGCAGCUCCUAAUUCAACAAAGACAACACCAAGAGCUGCAAACUCUGCUGGCAGUACCCAAAUGUCAAGAGGAAACCAGGGACUUGCAUUGUCACAACAUCCAACAGGAUGAUUAGAAAAACACUGGUAAUUCCCCAUAGCCAUAGAGCUGCUGCAAAACAGCCUGCAAGCAAAGCAAUUGCUGUUUAAGCAAAAAGCAGCGCAAUGGUCUCCGAGCAGGAAAGCAAACCAAGCUGAGAUUUCCUGGGACAAUGUUUUCAAUUACGUGAAUGUAAUUGACUGGAAGGGAAAAAACUUCUUGAAUUAAGCACGUAAACAAGGUGAACAAAAUAAUUUCUUCCUUGUUCAAGCAGAGGAUGUGGUUUUGCUCUCAUUUACUGGUCCCAGGUAGGAGAAUCUAGAUCUUUCCGGCUGUUAAAGUGUCACUCUGCAUUUAUGCCAAUGUAAGAGGAAACAAAGUCCUGCAUCCACAUCUUGAGCCCCAGCUCAAGAGGGACGUGGAGCUGCUCAAGCGAGCCAGAGGAAACCAUGGAGCUGCUGCGAGGGCUGGAGCAGCUCUGCUCUGGAGCCAGGCUGAGAGAGCUGGGCUGGGGCAGCCUGGACAAGAGAAGGCUCCUGAAGGGGAGACCUGAGAGCAGCUCCAGUGCCUAAAGGGGCUGCAGGAAACCUGGAGAGGGGCUUGGGACAAGGGCCUGUAGGGACAGGCCAAGAGGGAAAGGCUUGAACCUGCCCAAGAGAGGGGAGACUGAGCUGAGCUCUGAGGCAGAAGCUGUUCCCGGUGAGGGUGCUGAGGCGCUGGCACAGGGUGCACAGAGAAGCUGUGGCUGCCCCAUCCCUGGCAGUGUUCAAGGCCAGGCUGGACACAGGGGCUUGGAGCAACCUGCUCUAGUGUGAGGUGUCCCUGCCUGCCUGUGGCAGGGGUUGGAGCUGGAUGAGCUUUAAGGUCCCUUCCAACAUGAACCAUUCCAUGAUUCUGUAAAAUGUAGAAAUGGGGAGGAUAACUACAGGCAAAUUACAGACCAAUCGAUGAAAGCAGAGAGUAAAUGGAUUUCCUCUCUCGGCAAGGUCAGAGGAGCAUGCGCUACGAUUACCAGACAUACCUCCGCUUUCCUCUCCUGCUUCCCAGUCGCAGAAACCUCUCUUUCCUUUUUGGUCUUUCCUGCUAAAACGGCGCAACUCUCUCCAAAGGUUCUGCUAUUAACU